GAGUAAUGGCUCACCAAGGCGACCGAUCCGUAACUGGUCUGAGAGGAUGAUCAGUCACACUGGAACUGAGACACGGUCCAGACUCCUACGGAGGGCAGCAGUGGGGAAUAUUGGACAAUGGGCGAAAGCCUGAUCCAGCCAUGCCGCGUGUGUGAAGAAGGUCUUCGGAUUGUAAAGCACUUUAAGUUAGGAGGAAGGGCAUUAACCUAAUACGUUAGUGUUUUGACGUUACCGACAGAAUAAGCACCGGCUAACUCUGUGCCAGCAGCCGCGGUAAUACAGAGGGUGCAAGCGUUAAUCGGAAUUCUAGGGCGUAAA
This 318-nucleotide ribosomal RNA is filed under the name uncultured bacterium. RNAcentral's name for it is "bacterial SSU rRNA". It matches the Rfam family "Bacterial small subunit ribosomal RNA", at positions 254 to 564 of the family's 1533-position model. The record is from RNAcentral.